This 245-nucleotide ribosomal RNA is filed under the name uncultured bacterium. RNAcentral's name for it is "partial 16S ribosomal RNA". It matches the Rfam family "Bacterial small subunit ribosomal RNA", at positions 524 to 768 of the family's 1533-position model. The record is from RNAcentral.
UACGGAGGGUGCAAGCGUUAUCCGGAUUUACUGGGUUUAAAGGGUGUGUAGGCGGGCUUUUAAGUCAGUGGUGAAAUCUCCGGGCUCAACCCGGAAACUGCCAUUGAUACUAUUAGUCUUGAAUUUUGUUGAGGUAGGCGGAAUAAGUCAUGUAGCGGUGAAAUGCUUAGAUAUGACUUAGAACACCAAUUGCGAAGGCAGCUUGCUAAACAAACAUUGACGCUGAGGCACGAAAGCGUGGGGAU